This 494-nucleotide ribosomal RNA is filed under the name uncultured bacterium. RNAcentral's name for it is "partial 16S ribosomal RNA". It matches the Rfam family "Bacterial small subunit ribosomal RNA", at positions 28 to 523 of the family's 1533-position model. The record is from RNAcentral.
GACGAACGCUGGCGGCGUGCUUAACACAUGCAAGUCGAGCGAUGAAAGCCUUAUGAACUAUUCGUAGUGAUUGAGGCCGGAUUAGCGGCGGACGGGUGAGUAACGCGUGAGCAACCUGCCUUAAACAACGGGAUAGCCUCGGGAAACCGGGAUUAAUACCGUAUGAGACCCCGCCUUCACAUGAAGAAGAGGUUAAAGAUUUAUCGGUCUAAGAUGGGCUCGCGUCUGAUUAGCUAGUUGGUGAGAUAAAAGCCCACCAAGGCAACGAUCAGUAACCGGCUUGAGAGAGUGAACGGUCACAUUGGAACUGAGACACGGUCCAAACUCCUACGGGAGGCAGCGGUGGGGAAUAUUGCACAAUGGGGGAAACCCUGAUGCAGCGACGCCGCGUGAGCGAUGAAGGAAUUCGUUUCGUAAAGCUCUGUCCAAGGGGAAGAUAAUGACAGUACCCUUGGAGGAAGCCCCGGCUAAAUACGUGCCAGCCGCCGCGGUAA